CAUCUGACCUCAAAUC
RNAcentral lists this ribosomal RNA (16 nucleotides) under Somion unicolor. Its description in RNAcentral is "Spongipellis unicolor partial 28S ribosomal RNA". The record is from RNAcentral. Lineage: Eukaryota; Fungi; Basidiomycota; Agaricomycetes; Polyporales; Cerrenaceae.